UUCUAUGAGCUUUUGGGACCCUUCCAACCCAACCAUCCCCUGAUGCCAUGACUUUACGAUCCCCCUGUGCUGACGGCACUCACUCUUUGCAGGCACCACAGGAAGGCACUGAGGAGCGUGGCCUUCCACAAGCACUACCCGCUCUUCGCCUCGGGCUCAGACGAUGGGACCGUCAUUGUGUGCCAUGGCAUGGUCUACAACGACCUGCUGCAGAACCCGCUGCUGGUGCCAGUGAAGGUGCUGAAGGGCCACGCGUUGACCCUGGACCUGGGCGUCCUCGAUGUCAUCUUCCACCCCACACAGCCGUGGGUCUUCUCCUCCGGAGCCGACGGCACCGUCCGGCUCUACACGUAGCUGCUGCCCAACACCGGCACCCCAAUGACACCGACACCCCAACUCCAGAACCCCAACACAGGCACCCCAACACCGGCCGGGAACAUCUCCGCUCCCACCCAUGGACUCUGGAACCUUUCUCAUUUCUCAUUAAACUGAUUUUUGGGUACAGA
Long non-coding RNA from Lagopus leucura (white-tailed ptarmigan), 506 nucleotides. RefSeq lists it as uncharacterized. The record is from RefSeq and is a predicted model, not a curated record. NCBI's taxonomy places the organism in Eukaryota, Metazoa, Chordata, Aves, Galliformes, Phasianidae. The transcript has 2 exons.